This 637-nucleotide ribosomal RNA is filed under the name uncultured bacterium. Its description in RNAcentral is "bacterial SSU rRNA". It matches the Rfam family "Bacterial small subunit ribosomal RNA", at positions 202 to 842 of the family's 1533-position model. The record is from RNAcentral.
UAAAGAUUCAUCGCUGAUAGAUAGGCAUGCGUUCCAUUAGGCAGUUGGCGGGGUAACGGCCCACCAAACCGACGAUGGAUAGGGGUUCUGAGAGGAAGGUCCCCCACAUUGGUACUGAGACACGGACCAAACUCCUACGGGAGGCAGCAGUGAGGAAUAUUGGUCAAUGGGCGUAAGCCUGAACCAGCCAAGUCGCGUGAGGGAUGAAGGUUCUAUGGAUCGUAAACCUCUUUUAUAAGGGAAUAAAGUGCGGGACGUGUCCCGUUUUGUAUGUACCUUAUGAAUAAGGAUCGGCUAACUCCGUGCCAGCAGCCGCGGUAAUACGGAGGAUCCGAGCGUUAUCCGGAUUUAUUGGGUUUAAAGGGUGCGUAGGCGGCCUUUUAAGUCAGCGGUGAAAGUCUGUGGCUCAACCAUAGAAUUGCCGUUGAAACUGGGAGGCUUGAGUAUGUUUGAGGCAGGCGGAAUGCGUGGUGUAGCGGCGAAAUGCUUAGAUAUCACGCAGAACCCCGAUUGCGAAGGCAGCCUGCCAAGCCAUGACUGACGCUGAUGCACGAAAGCGUGGGGAUCAAACAGGAUUAGAUACCCUGGUAGUCCACGCAGUAAACGAUGAUCACUAGCUGUUUGCGAUACAGUGUAA